RNAcentral lists this long non-coding RNA (2967 nucleotides) under Homo sapiens (human). RNAcentral's name for it is "HSALNT0385064". The record is from RNAcentral. Lineage: Eukaryota; Metazoa; Chordata; Mammalia; Primates; Hominidae.
GGAGAUUCCAUCUAAACCCCUGCUUUAGAUGCGGGCACUGCAGAGCCACUCCAAGUCAUUUGUUCCAAGACCAUGUGUUAAAAUAAGCCUAUUUGUUGAGUGGCAUGAGGUUAAAGUUAGUGUCUUAUUUAUGUUUGUGUCACUGGUACCCAACUAGCACAUAGCAUAUGGUAGGAGCACAGUGAACAUAGCAGGGAUAUACAUGCAGUGUUCGAGAUGCUGGCAGGGUGUGAACAGGGUACCAGAACGUGGGCUUUAUGUAGGAUUAGAGUUAGAAGCAUUAGCAGCUGAAAAAUGGCAGGAAAAUGAUGAAAUCUGCAUGAUGGAAAAAGGGGGUCAGAGAUCUAAAGUCUAGAUGAAUGCAGAAAACAGAGCACUCAGGAAUAAGCUUCUGCUCACCACUCCUGGAGAAGUGUGACAUACAUGCAAACUUCUGCACAUCUGGGACUGAAGAAGUAGAUCUUUCACCUUAAAAUUACCCACUGAUAUCCACUGGGAGAGAGAACUCUCUCUGAUUUGAUGCUCAGCAAGAGUGACUCUCAUCUCCAGGAUUGCUGGUGGGAGGUCAAGUCUUCCUCCCCAGGAUGCUGCACUUGGAUGGACUUGAAAGAGUUCUGUUUGUUCCAAGUUGCGAUCUCAUAUUCACUCUGGGCCAGACCAACUACACAACUCCUUAAUUCUUCAGUUGGCCGGGAGUGAGGUUCCAGGAUGCCACAGCCCUGGGCAAUGAAGACAACAAGUUCAUCUUGAAUAGAUGGAUCUGAUUCACCUGACCUUAGGAGGAAUACACUGAAUUAUUUUUCAUGCUAGAGCAUAUUCCCAGGGCGCUGGGGCAGAGACCACGUCCUAAACCCAACUCAAAUGUGGGCUGUGCUCUUGGCUGAAGAAAAGCAUGGAAAGCAGUUGGGGACCUGCAUCCCCAAGACUGUCAGCCCUUCUCCAGGGCUAGCAACAAGCAGAGUGUAGCAGUGAGAAGAUGCUCUUGGCAGGCUCCAGAUAGCUGUGCCCUCAGCCCAGGAGGACUCAGCCAAUGAAGACUCAGCUAAUGAAAGCUCAGCAUGGAGGUGGCAAAGGGCUGCAGCCCCACCAAACUCUUUGCCUCCAGGCGCUGUGGUGGUGAAGAACUGAAAUACACAAACCUUGGGGCUUCCCCUUGUCCCUGAAACUGCAGAAGAUGCUGGCUCGGGAGAGCCCAGGUGAGAAAGCUGCUGCAGGAGCCAGAAACUUUGGCAAAGACUCUUUCUUUGCAAGUAAGAAAGCUAGUUGGGAAAGAGGACCAACUGUUCCUUCUAAAUUCCCAGGGAGUGGAGGGUACGUGAGGCCCUGUGAUUCAUUGGCCAGGAGUAUCUGCUCCAGCUGCCAGGCCAGAGUGAUCAAUCCAAAAGUGCUUCUGAAAAUGAGGCCAGACCCACAUUAAUGAAGCCUGAUUGCCUCAGAAUUAUUGUCGGAUUAAUUAGCAGCUUUGCCAGUAGCCCAUGUGUUCAGGGUCAGUAACAAUUUAUGGUGAGUCACAUUUAAGUAAUUUCAUUCAAUUUAACCAGCAUUUGCUGCACCUACUAAGCACAGAGUUUUAGGCAAACCUAAUGUAAGAACAGGGUCUGAACUGGACUUCCAAUGCCAAGGAUUCUAGGCCUAGAUCUGCCGUAUACAAGUCAUUUACCAGUAGGAAAAAAAUCACUUUGUCUUUCUGGCCUCAGUUUCCCCAUUUGUAAAAAAAAAAAAAAAAAGGUGGGAUGGAAUUGACUCAAUAGUUGGUCAGUUUUCUCCAAUAUCAGUGAGGUAGGAGGUGGAGCUCUACUCCAGAGACAGGGCUUGGACACCAGAUCAGAUUGAGGAGUAGCUAAAAAUGGGCCAGGGUGAAAGCAGCUUUAAAUCAGACACACCCACCAGUGUGUCAUGUCAAUUUACUGUUGGCAUGGCAACACCUAGGAAUUACUGCCCUUUUCCAUGGCAAUGACCCAAUGACUCAAAAGUUAGUACCCUUUCCCUAGAAAUUUCUGCAUAAACUGCCUCUUAAUCUUCAUGCAAUUAAAAGUGGGUAUAAAUAUGACUGCAAAACUGUCCUGAGCUACUACUCUCUGCCUAUGAGGCAGCCCUGCUCUGCAGGAGCAGUCACGGAGCUAUAACACUGCCUCUUCAAUACAGCUGUUUUCUUCUACCUCUGGCUUGCCCUUGGAUUCCUUCCUGUGCAAAGCCAAGAACCCUCACAGGCUCCAUGUUGGGGCUUGCUUUUUGAGAGCCUGAAAUGUAAAAUUAGAUAAGACACAUACAUACAAAAGGAAAAUUCAUUAAUUCCAUGAAUGUGUUUAUCCACAAAUAUUUACUGAUCAGUUCCUACUAGGUUCCAGACACUAUACAAAAUAAUGUAAGAUAAGCUUACCUUCAAACACAUACAGUCUACUGGGGAAGACCAUGAACAAAUGCACAGUUGGAGCAUAGGCACAGAGCAGGGAGCUUUUGAAUUAGAGGGAGGGUAGCAAAGUUGUGCCAGAGGAAGUAACAUCGUACUGAGAAAUAAAAAAGAGAUGAAAGGCAUCUCAUCAAAGAGUAUAGAAUUUAAUAAGACAUAGAGUCAUGAUAAAAGUAUGUUGGGGGAAUGAAGGUGUAUUCUGUGAGAAUAAUAACGAAUGUGGCAGGAAAACUGCAUGAGAGCUAGGUUAUAGGAGAACAUUUUGUUUGGAAUUAAAUUCUGGAAGCCAAGUGAAUCUACUGAAGGAAUAUGACAUGACAUGGUCAGAUUUUGAUUCUACGGUAGUCUAGAAGCAGAGAGGAAGAUAAAUUGUUGAGGGAAGAUGUUAAAGACAAAGAAGCCCAUCAGGAGGCUUCUACAAUUAUCUAGACAAGGGAUGGUGCUGAUCUCACCUAAGACAGUAAAGCUAGAGAGAAUAAAGGUGAUACAAGCAAUGUUUCAAUAGCGGAUAUUGUAAUUCUUGGUGACUGAUUAAAUAUGGGAGAUCCAUAGUGUUG